Molecule: ribosomal RNA, 442 nt
Filed under: uncultured bacterium
Lineage: Bacteria
Description: bacterial SSU rRNA
Rfam family: Bacterial small subunit ribosomal RNA
Source: RNAcentral
GGAGGCAGCAGUGGGGAAUAUUGCACAAUGGGGGAAACCCUGAUGCAGCGACGCCGCGUGGAGGAAGAAGGUCUUCGGAUUGUAAACUCCUGUUGUUGAGGAAGAUAAUGACGGUACUCAACAAGGAAGUGACGGCUAACUACGUGCCAGCAGCCGCGGUAAAACGUAGGUCACAAGCGUUGUCCGGAAUUACUGGGUGUAAAGGGAGCGCAGGCGGGAAGACAAGUUGGAAGUGAAAUCCAUGGGCUCAACCCAUGAACUGCUUUCAAAACUGUUUUUCUUGAGUAGUGCAGAGGUAGGCGGAAUUCCCGGUGUAGCGGUGGAAUGCGUAGAUAUCGGGAGGAACACCAGUGGCGAAGGCGGCCUACUGGGCACCAACUGACGCUGAGGCUCGAAAGUGUGGGUAGCAAACAGGAUUAGAUACCCUGGUAGUCCACACUGU